AAUCUUUUCUUCAAAGAAGCAUUCAGUGCAACAAUUGAACAUCAGUAUGAACUUCCAAGCUAUAAAAAGGGCUAAACCAGGUCAGAUGAGCAGAACAUGAGGGAAGUGAUGAUCUGCUGAGGGGCUUUGGCUGCCAAUGGAUGGAAUCGGAGGAUUCUGUGAGAAAAGAGUAGAAGAUCCAAUGGAACUGAUGGUCAUUAUGUUCCUUGAGAGUGUUAUGGCCAAACUGACACGGGAAGGUUUUUGCAUCAUGUUUUGGUUAAAACUUCUAUUCCCAUCGCAGGAAGGCGCUGGCUGACUCCACUUCCCGCCCCAAGGG
Vidua macroura (Pin-tailed whydah) is the source of this 319-nucleotide long non-coding RNA. RefSeq lists it as uncharacterized. The record is from RefSeq and is a predicted model, not a curated record. NCBI's taxonomy places the organism in Eukaryota, Metazoa, Chordata, Aves, Passeriformes, Viduidae. The transcript has 3 exons.